Molecule: transfer RNA, 70 nt
Filed under: Conus fernandesi
Lineage: Eukaryota; Metazoa; Mollusca; Gastropoda; Neogastropoda; Conidae
Description: tRNA-Lys
Rfam family: tRNA
About the family: Transfer RNA (tRNA) molecules are approximately 80 nucleotides in length. Their secondary structure includes four short double-helical elements and three loops (D, anti-codon, and T loops).
Source: RNAcentral
UCUUAGGUGACUGAGUAGAGGUGCUAGAUUUUUAAUCUAGAAACAGCAUAGGUAAAAAUGCUCCUAAGAA